GAGUUUGAUCCUGGCUCAGGAUGAACGCUGGCGGCGUGCUUAACACAUGCAAGUCGAACGAAACACCUUAUUUGAUUUUCUUCGGAACUGAAGAUUUGGUGAUUGAGUGGCGGACGGGUGAGUAACGCGUGGGUAACCUGCCCUGUACAGGGGGAUAACAGUUAGAAAUGACUGCUAAUACCGCAUAAGACCACAGCACCGCAUGGUGCAGGGGUAAAAACUCCGGUGGUACAGGAUGGGCCCGCGUCUGAUUAGCUGGUUGGCAGGGUAACGGCCUACCAAGGCAACGAUCAGUAGCCGGUCUGAGAGGAUGAACGGCCACAUUGGAACUGAGACACGGUCCAAACUCCUACGGGAGGCAGCAGUGGGGAAUAUUGCACAAUGGGGGAAACCCUGAUGCAGCAACGCCGCGUGAGUGAAGAAGUAUUUCGGUAUGUAAAGCUCUAUCAGCAGGGAAGAUAAUGACGGUACCUGACUAAGAAGCUCCGGCUAAAUACGUGCCAGCCGCCGCGGUAAUUC
This 519-nucleotide ribosomal RNA is filed under the name uncultured bacterium. RNAcentral's name for it is "bacterial SSU rRNA". It matches the Rfam family "Bacterial small subunit ribosomal RNA", at positions 9 to 526 of the family's 1533-position model. The record is from RNAcentral.